UACGGGGGGGGCAAGCGUUGUUCGGAAUUACUGGGCGUAAAGGGCUCGUAGGCGGCCAACUAAGUCGGGCGUGAAAUCCCUCGGCUUAACCGGGGAACUGCGUCCGAUACUGGAUGGCUGGAGGUUGGGAGAGGGAUGCGGAAUUCCAGGUGUAGCGGUGAAAUGCGUAGAUAUCUGGAGGAACACCGGUGGCGAAGGCGGCAUCCUGGACCAACACUGACGCUGAGUGAGCGAAAGCCAGGGGAGCAAACGGG
This 254-nucleotide ribosomal RNA is filed under the name uncultured bacterium. RNAcentral describes it as "partial 16S ribosomal RNA". It matches the Rfam family "Bacterial small subunit ribosomal RNA", at positions 524 to 776 of the family's 1533-position model. The record is from RNAcentral.